UACGUAGGGGGCAAGCGUUGUCCGGAAUUAUUGGGCGUAAAGAGCGCGUAGGCGGUCCGGUAAGUCGGUUGUGAAAGUCGGGGGCUCAACCCUCGGAUGCCGAUCGAUACUGUCGGGCUAGAGUCCGGAAGAGGCGAGUGGAAUUCCUGGUGUAGCGGUGAAAUGCGCAGAUAUCGGGAGGAACACCAGUGGCGAAGGCGGCACUCUGGGCCGGAACUGACGCUGAGGAGCGAAAGCGUGGGGAGCGAACAGG
This 253-nucleotide ribosomal RNA is filed under the name uncultured bacterium. RNAcentral's name for it is "partial 16S ribosomal RNA". It matches the Rfam family "Bacterial small subunit ribosomal RNA", at positions 524 to 776 of the family's 1533-position model. The record is from RNAcentral.